This is a long non-coding RNA of Triticum aestivum (bread wheat), 1552 nucleotides long. RefSeq lists it as uncharacterized. The record is from RefSeq and is a predicted model, not a curated record. Lineage: Eukaryota; Viridiplantae; Streptophyta; Magnoliopsida; Poales; Poaceae. The transcript is spliced from 5 exons.
ACUAAAAGGAAAAAGUCUCCGUAUCCCCACAGAUCUCUCCCAGCCGCCUCUCUCCCUUCCUGCCACCAUCGUCAGCGGUCGCCGGGCCCUCCAGCCGCCGCCGCUACCACCACCUUCUCCUCCUACUCGUCCCCCACUUCUAAUCUUCCGUCUCCCUCCGACCUCGAGUACAGCAGCGGAUUUCGGCUUAGCUGGAUGUGACGCCGGCGAGGUCACAGUUCCUGUCGGCAUCCUCUGCGGCCGGUCCUGUGGGGUGGGCCACGCGCUGCUCAUAUCGGUGUCAGCGGCCACGGCCAUCCCCUGCCAUGGUGUCGCCCUUCCCUUGCCUGCCGCGUCAGCUUGCUGGUCGGAUCGCGAUGUUGACGGAGCCGGUACAACGCAAAUCCAGUUGCUCCCAAUGAAAGCCAAAUUUCAAGUGAUAAGUGCAUACCGACACAAAAGGCACGAGGUGCUGAUGAUCGCAGUGACUCAGAGUAUGAACCAGAUGCUGAAGAGGAGGCCCUUGCAAAGGAAGAGGAUUUGAGAGAUGAAGAGGAGGUCGCUCUUGCUAAGUCCAAAGCAAUGGCACCUGAAGGUUCCAUACCAAAAAUGAAAAAGCGUGUCUGAUCCAAAAAUAGUGCAACUGCUACCUCAAGAAUAAAAAGAUCUAGAGCUAACACAACAACUUUCAUUCACGUGUUCACAUGUUGGAUAGUCAAUUUAAUGAUAUAUCCUGUAUAUGAUUGGUAUUUCAGAGUAACUUUGAGAUGGAAAAGAAUGACAAGGUUGGGAAUGAUGUAUGCACAAAAGUAAUGCAGAAGGGUGUUCGACAACAACGCUACAAUCUAAAGAAGAAAUACUUCAAUGGUUAUACUGAGUGAGUUUUUCAAACAAACCCGUACAAACAGCAAUACUGGUAGCAUGAGCGAGCCGACACUUCUAGCUCCUAAUGCGAUGGAAAAGAAAAAGGAAACACAAUCAGAAGGUGAGAAGCCAUUAUCGGACACAGCUACUGUGGCUGAAGUUCUAAAGGAAGAAAGCGCCCAUAGCACCUUCCUUUCCAGCAUGGGGUACGCAUAAGACCCGGGAGGUCUGGGAGCUCUACUUCAUCAGCCCAGAUCCAAGUUCUAGAAGAAAGAAUUUGAACAAAAGAAUAGAGAGGCAAGAGAUGCAAAUGACAGGCAUCUGGAGGAGUUAGCCGCAAGACUUGAAGCACAAGAGAGAGCAUUUGAAGAGAUACAAAAGAAGCAGCAAGAAGAAUUGGAAGCUCUUAAGAAGAUCCCACAAGAGAAGAAUAAAGCCUGUGCAAAGAAGCAAAAGGAGACGGAUAAUCUGCUUGAUUUUCUCUUGACGGCUCAAGCAACUCAACAAGCAACUCUGCACUUGAUGGUUCAUGAAUGACAUCCCUACAUUGCAAUCAUUAGGAAAACAUGUGUGGUCUUUAAUUACUAUUAGUUUUCAUCUUGUCUAUUGUCUGUAUCAAACUUGAGUCAGUUUUUCACCAUCAUUUUUGUUUACAGAAUGAUUUGGCUUAGACGAUUUCAUAUAUAAUAUGAUUUGUCUUUUAUAUCAA